This 84-nucleotide transfer RNA is filed under the name Elusimicrobiota bacterium. RNAcentral's name for it is "Elusimicrobia bacterium (hot springs metagenome) tRNA-Leu". It matches the Rfam family "tRNA". Rfam says of the family: Transfer RNA (tRNA) molecules are approximately 80 nucleotides in length. Lineage: Bacteria; Pseudomonadati; Elusimicrobiota. The record is from RNAcentral.
GCCGCGGUGGCGGAAUGGCAUACGCGCCGGUCUCAAAAACCGGUGGACAUUAAGUCCAUGUGGGUUCAACUCCCACCCGCGGCA